Molecule: long non-coding RNA, 531 nt
Filed under: Helianthus annuus (common sunflower)
Lineage: Eukaryota; Viridiplantae; Streptophyta; Magnoliopsida; Asterales; Asteraceae
Description: hypothetical non coding rna
Source: RNAcentral
GCCAUAAUUCUCUCUCACAUUCACAGCCGGAUCGUUUUCAGAUCCGAAUCGAAGAAACAAGAAACCCCGUAAAAACCUAACUUUCUCUCUCACAUUCACCGCCGGAAUCGAAGAAAAAAAAGGGGGUUGUUCGCCAUUUUAUCACCGGAAUCGAACAAAUCAGGUUUCGACGGUGGUCCAAAUCUUUGCCGGAUCGUUGCUGAGUUUUUCAGAUCUUCGCUGCCAAUGAUGAAGUUAAAGAACAAAUCCAGAUCCCUCAUCUUUGCCGGAUCGAUUUUCAGAUCCGAAUUGAAAAUUAGUUGCUGAGUUUUUUUGGUCUCUCCAGCAUUGAUCCGACGAAAUUAGUUGCUGAGUUUUUUUGUUCAUUUUUUUGAUUUUCGCUUUGUUUUUUAAUGCGAUGUACACAUGUGUAUUCUGAUUUUGAUCUGUUUAAAUGCGAUGUACGCAUGUGUAUUCUGAUUUUGCCUUGUUUUUAAUGCGAUGUACACAUGUGUAUAUCGUUUGUUUGUGUGAUAUCUCAGAUUUUUUUUU